RNAcentral lists this ribosomal RNA (503 nucleotides) under uncultured bacterium. RNAcentral's name for it is "partial 16S ribosomal RNA". It matches the Rfam family "Bacterial small subunit ribosomal RNA", at positions 30 to 523 of the family's 1533-position model. The record is from RNAcentral.
AUUGAACGCUGGCGGCAGGCUUAACACAUGCAAGUCGAGCGGGGUGAUGGUGCUUGCACUAUCACUUAGCGGCGGACGGGUGAGUAAUGCUUAGGAAUCUGCCUAUUAGUGGGGGACAACGUCUCGAAAGGGAUGCUAAUACCGCAUACGUCCUACGGGAGAAAGCAGGGGAUCACUUGUGACCUUGCGCUAAUAGAUGAGCCCAAGUCGGAUUAGCUAGUUGGGGGGGUAAAGGCCUACCAAGGCGACGAUCUGUAGCGGGUUUGAGAGGAUGAUCCGCCACACUGGGACUGAAACACGGCCCAGACUCCUACGGGAGGCAGCAGUGGGGAAUAUUGGACAAUGGGGGGAACCCUGAUCCAGCCAUGCCGCGUGUGUGAAGAAGGCCUUAUGGUUGUAAAGCACUUUAAGCGAGGAGGAGGCUCUUUUGGUUAAUACCCAAGAUGAGUGGACGUUACUCGCAGAAUAAGCACCGGCUAACUCUGUGCCAGCCGCCGCAGUAA